Molecule: ribosomal RNA, 256 nt
Filed under: uncultured bacterium
Lineage: Bacteria
Description: partial 16S ribosomal RNA
Rfam family: Bacterial small subunit ribosomal RNA
Source: RNAcentral
UACAGAGGGUGCAAGCGUUAAUCGGAAUUAUUGGGCGUAAAGGGUGCGUAGGCGGUUUGGUAAGUCUUAUGUGAAAUCUACAGGCUCAACUUGUAGUCUGCAUGAGAAACUGCCGGGCUUGAGUAUGGGAGAGGUGAGUGGAAUUCCUGGUGUAGCGGUGAAAUGCGUAGAUAUCAGGAGGAACACCUGUGGCGAAAGCGGCUCACUGGACCAUAACUGACGCUGGAUGCACGAAAAGCUAGGGGGAGCAAACAGG